RNAcentral lists this ribosomal RNA (604 nucleotides) under Leucosporidium creatinivorum. RNAcentral describes it as "eukaryotic LSU rRNA". It matches the Rfam family "Eukaryotic large subunit ribosomal RNA", at positions 47 to 648 of the family's 3401-position model. The record is from RNAcentral. Lineage: Eukaryota; Fungi; Basidiomycota; Microbotryomycetes; Leucosporidiales; Leucosporidiaceae.
UAAGCGGAGGAAAAGAAACUAACAAGGAUUCCCCUAGUAACGGCGAGUGAAGCGGGAAGAGCUCAAAUUUGUAAUCUGGCACUUUCAGUGUCCGAGUUGUAAUCUCGAGAAGUAUUUUCCGCGCCGGACCGCAUACAAGUCUGUUGGAAUACAGCGUCAUAGUGGUGAGAACCCCGUAACUGAUGCGGAUGCCCGGUGCUUUGUGAUAUACUUUCGAAGAGUCGAGUUGUUUGGGAAUGCAGCUCAAAUUGGGUGGUAAAUUCCAUCUAAAGCUAAAUAUUGGAGCAAGACCGAUAGCGAACAAGUACCGUGAGGGAAAGAUGAAAAGCACUUUGGAAAGAGAGUUAACAGUACGUGAAAUUGUUGGAAGGGAAACGCUUGAAGUCAGACUUGCUAUUCGGAGUUCAGCCGCAAGGUGUAUUCUUCGAUUUGCAGGCCAGCAUCAGUUUUUGGGGGUGGAAAAUCGUGGUUUGAAGGUAGCAGUUUCGGCUGUGUUAUAGCUUUCCACUGGAUUCAUCUUCGGGGACUGAGGAACGCAGUACGCUUUUUGCAAGGCUUUCGAGCUUUUCGUACUUAGGAUGCUGGUGGAAUGGCUUUAAACGAC